AAAAUAAGUGAAAUGUUGUAACAUAACAAUAGUUGUUAAGUUUUUUAAGUGGUCUCUUAAAGAAUUAUGUUAAAGAAACAAGCACAACACUUUGAUAAAGUUAAGAGACAUAUAAUAAUGACCCUAACUUUAGAAGGUAUUUUACAACGACAUAUAUGUACUAGAAGAGAAUGCAAAAAGAGAAUGAAUUGUACAAAGAAGAGAAAAAUAUGGGUGAAGUUAUCAAAUUUGUUCAUGCUAUUUUCAUCCUUGUUUGUCUGAUUCUUGUUACAAUGAACGAUGGCAUGGAUGAUGAUUGUACCCGCGAUUUUGAUUGUCCAAAAUCUAUGUGCCCGUUUCCUUUAAAACCGGAGUGUUUUUGGUUGGGAAAUCCGACUGGAUUUAAAACUGGGACAUGUAUAUGUGUUUGACAGAUGUUUACAAAUUUCCAUGAGUUAAAGUUAUUGUUAUUGUAUUCUAUAAAUUUAAUUUUUCUUCUUAUUAUUUUAAUGGUCUUCUAGUUAUGGAUUUUGUAUUCUGAGAUGAUGAUAUAAUGAAAUGUAAGCGUUGGAUAGGCCGAGGCCAUAGUCCUUGAAGUCUUAUAUGUAUUUAUCUAAAGCUAAAAUAGGCUACCCAGCACUAAACGAGCUGGUCCAUGCGGGCCUUGACUUUUUAAGGCCGGACCCAAAAAUUCAUUUUUAAUGGGCUCUAGUUUUACUACACAGGCCCAAUCCUGUCUGAGUUGCAGAUUAGGAUUUUUUUUUUUGAUUUAUCGCCAUCGGUUUAGUUUGGUUCGGGAGUCAGUUUUGGCAUCAAGUGGUUCCAGCCCCCUUCCGAUCACAGUUGCGGGGAUCGAACUAUUGUUCUCCCUACCAAGUUCAGCGCCAAUCACCAUUGAACCAACUAACGAUUGGUUCAAAACUAGGAUUUUAAAUAAUCCAUCGAAUCUAACAAUUAAAAUCUAAAACAACACAUUAACUUAAUUCAAACUAUUCAAAAUGAAUCACAAAUUAUUCAAAAUGCAUUACAAAUUACCCUAUAUAGCACACAAAUUUAACCUCACUAUCACUACUAAUUUCCGAUUAGAGUAGAAACAAACUAUAAUUCUAUAUGUAAAUCAACAAAUUACAACAGGAAGCAUCAGAUUCAGGUCAACCCAUAAUUUCUAUAACAUAAAAUAUACAAAGCCAUGUGAACUUAAAAGAUGAGGUGGUCCUUAAGCCACCCAAAACAUGCUCUUGUAUUGGUGUGUGAUAAAAUUCACGAGACAUAUAUUGAUGGACAGUGUCCAAAUAUAAGAAAAACAAAACAUCUAUAUUCUGGAGUUAUGAAAUUUAUAGGAUUCACUUUAAAAAAAUUAAUAAAGAAAAGUAUUUAAAACUAUGAUAUAACUUCACUUAAAUUACAAUUUUCUUCACAGUAUUGAUGAUAUGCGAAAAUUUUGGAGUUAUGAAAUUUAAAGGAUUUUGAAUUUCCCAUGUGUUUGUUUGGUAUUAAAAACAAAACAUCUUUAUUCUGUCAUAAAAAGAAGAAUCGAAACGCAAGCAACUAAUGCACUCAAAGAAGAAUCGAAACGCAAGCAACUAAUGCACUCAAAGAAGAAUCAAAACAUCUAUUUCAUUUCAUAUAAGGCUAGCAACUCAAACUAACGCACUCAAACAUCAACAGAAGAAUCUAAACGCAAGCUGAGAACACGGCAUCACAAAACGCAAGUUGAGAAGAUUAAAAAGGCAAAAAACACGACAUCACAAAACGCAAAGUAACGAAACACAAACUGAGACUGAGAAGAUUAUAUUCUGUCAAAAACACAGUUAGAAAAACACUUAUGGAAAAAGAAGAAUCGAAGCUGAGAAGAUUCACAAAAUACAAUCUAUGAUGGACGAAGCUUGGAAGACAAAACGCAAAGCGGCGAAGCCCUAACCUUCAAGCAGCGGCGCAGAGUGUAACACAGAUAAAACCAACGGCAUCAUGUUUUGUGUGUGUUCCUAACUCAGUAUCAAACUAUCAGUAAAGUGUCUAGGUCAUUUUUUGGAACAAGUUGCAAUUGGGCUGUGUCGCAUGUUCGCGAAAAAAUAAAUUGGAAUCAACAGAGUCGCCAUCGAACUUUAUUUAUCCCACAAAGGAAAGGGAAAACAUCGAGAAAAACCAGAAGAAGGAAAAGAUAAGAAAAGGUCUUACGAUCAAAUAUCGAGUAAGAAGUCAGUUACGCAAGGGGAAGGUAUUAGCACCCCUCACGUCUGUGGUACUCCACAUGAUCCCCUUAUGUUUGUUCUAUUCUAAGGGUUAUUAACUAGUGCUUAAUUGCUAAGGAGGAAAAUGAAAGGAUUAUAAACAAUACGGGAGGACCGUAGUUUGGCUUCUUGAAAAUCUGUUGCGCGAUUUUGUUUUGAAUUUCUUUGGGUGCAUAAGCGCAUGGUAUGAUUUGUGACUGGCUCAUUAGUGUAUUGGUUUUGUACGAUUGUAUUUGAAUUUUGUAUGAAUGACAUGGUAAGGGCUGAAUGGUAGUCUGUUUGGUUGCUGGUAGUUUUCUACUGCAUAAUUAUGAAGAAGGGUCAUAGAUGUAUGUAUAGCAGGGCUGCAAUUGCAUUGGUGUAGGCUAAGGUUUGAAGCAUGAAGCUAUGACAUCUAAAACAAAUAAGUGGCAUGACAUGGUGAUAAGAUUAUGAAAGAAGAAGAAGUGGAAAUGGCUUGAAGAUGAAGAGGGAUGUCUCAUAAAUUAGAUCCAUGGUAGAGCCAAUCAGAUAUGGUCAUAGUCAAAGUCUUUGGUCAACAGUUUAACCAAGAGUCAAUUAUUGUAAACAUGUAGAUUUUCCUUUGUAUGUAAUGGCAUGUGAC
Long non-coding RNA from Vicia villosa (hairy vetch), 2814 nucleotides. RefSeq lists it as uncharacterized. The transcript has 3 exons. Lineage: Eukaryota; Viridiplantae; Streptophyta; Magnoliopsida; Fabales; Fabaceae. The record is from RefSeq and is a predicted model, not a curated record.